UUUCCGUAGGUGAACCUGCGGAAGGAUCAUUAUCGAAUUUCGAGGGGAAGGAAGAUGAGGAGUGGAGACUGUCGCUGGCUUUCCCGCCUGGGAAGCAUGUGCACGCCUUGCUUUUCGUUGACCUUUCUCUUACUCUCACACCUGUGCACCCAUUGUAGGUCCUCGAAAGAGGAUCUAUGUUUUUAUCAUCACACGCAUCGUAUGUCCAUAGAAUGUAACAUGAUCGUCGAUCGACCUCGCGGUCGGGUGGCGGUCUAAAUAGAUAAAUACAACUUUCAGCAACGGAUCUCUUGGCUCUC
RNAcentral lists this unclassified non-coding RNA (299 nucleotides) under plant metagenome. RNAcentral's name for it is "partial contains small subunit ribosomal RNA, internal transcribed spacer 1, and 5.8S ribosomal RNA". The record is from RNAcentral.